UCCCUGGUGGUCCGAUGGUUCAGACUCUGAUCUUCCAAUGCAGGGGGCCUGGGUUCGAUUCCCGGUCAGGGAA
Molecule: transfer RNA, 73 nt
Filed under: Bos taurus (domestic cattle)
Lineage: Eukaryota; Metazoa; Chordata; Mammalia; Artiodactyla; Bovidae
Also listed under: 5 other names
Rfam family: tRNA
About the family: Transfer RNA (tRNA) molecules are approximately 80 nucleotides in length. Their secondary structure includes four short double-helical elements and three loops (D, anti-codon, and T loops).
Source: Rfam by way of RNAcentral